ACGAAGGGUGCAAGCGUUACUCGGAAUUACUGGGCGUAAAGCGUGCGUAGGUGGUUUGUUAAGUCCGAUGUGAAAUCCCUGGGCUCAACCUGGGAACUGCAUUUGAUACUGAAGAGCUAGAGUGUGGUAGAGGAUAGUGGAAUUCCCGGUGUAGCGGUGAAAUGCGUAGAUAUCGGGAGGAACAUCAGUGGCGAAGGCGGCUAUCUGGACCAACACUGACACUGAGGUACGAAAGCGUGGGUAGCAAACAGGA
RNAcentral lists this ribosomal RNA (253 nucleotides) under uncultured prokaryote. RNAcentral's name for it is "partial 16S ribosomal RNA". It matches the Rfam family "Bacterial small subunit ribosomal RNA", at positions 525 to 777 of the family's 1533-position model. The record is from RNAcentral.